RNAcentral lists this ribosomal RNA (250 nucleotides) under Chrysomya megacephala (oriental latrine fly). RNAcentral's name for it is "partial 16S ribosomal RNA". Lineage: Eukaryota; Metazoa; Arthropoda; Insecta; Diptera; Calliphoridae. The record is from RNAcentral.
UCUAAAAUUUUAUAAUAGAAUUUUAUUUUUUAGUCAAAAAGCUAAAAUAUAUUUAAAAGACGAGAAGACCCUAAAAAUCUUUAUAUUUAGGUUAUUAUAAUUUUAUAGAUUUUUUUUGUUAUAAUAAUUGAUAAUAUUUUAUUGGGGUGAUAUUAAAAUUUGAUAAACUUUUAAUUGUUUAAAUCAUUAAUUUAUGAAUAAUUGAUCCGUUAUUAGCGAUUAAAAAAAUAAGUUACCUUAGGGAUAACAG